RNAcentral lists this transfer RNA (82 nucleotides) under Planctomycetia bacterium. RNAcentral's name for it is "tRNA-Tyr". It matches the Rfam family "tRNA". Rfam says of the family: Transfer RNA (tRNA) molecules are approximately 80 nucleotides in length. Their secondary structure includes four short double-helical elements and three loops (D, anti-codon, and T loops). The record is from RNAcentral. Lineage: Bacteria; Pseudomonadati; Planctomycetota; Planctomycetia.
GGGGGAUUUCCCGAGUGGUCAAAGGGGACAGACUGUAAAUCUGCUAGCGAUGCUUUCGGAGGUUCGAAUCCUUCAUCCCCCA